This 486-nucleotide ribosomal RNA is filed under the name uncultured bacterium. Its description in RNAcentral is "bacterial SSU rRNA". It matches the Rfam family "Bacterial small subunit ribosomal RNA", at positions 30 to 511 of the family's 1533-position model. The record is from RNAcentral.
AUUGAACGCUGGCGGCAUGCCUUACACAUGCAAGUCGAACGGUAACAGGGAGCUUGCUCCGCUGACGAGUGGCGAACGGGUGAGUAAUGUAUCGGAACGUACCAUUCAGUGGGGGAUAACGUAGCGAAAGUUACGCUAAUACCGCAUAUUCUGUGAGCAGGAAAGCAGGGGAUCGCAAGACCUUGCGCUGAUUGAGCGGCCGAUAUCAGAUUAGCUAGUUGGUGAGGUAAAGGCUCACCAAGGCGACGAUCUGUAGCGGGUCUGAGAGGAUGAUCCGCCACACUGGAACUGAGACACGGUCCAGACUCCUACGGGAGGCAGCAGUGGGGAAUUUUGGACAAUGGGGGCAACCCUGAUCCAGCCAUGCCGCGUGAGUGAAGAAGGCCUUCGGUUGUAAAGCUCUUUCGGCCGGGAAAAUACGCAUCAGUUAAUACCUGGUGUGGAUGAUGGUACCGGAAUAAGAAGCACCGGCUAACUACGUGACCG